GAACGGCUCUCUUGCAGAAAUAGCCGUUUGGCAUUUUUAAAAUUUAACCAUUUGACCCCUCAAGUUUAAUUUAACCCCAAACUUUAUAUAAUUACACAAUUUCCCAUUUCUCAACUAUAAAUACCCCCACAUUCUUUCAUUUCAAUUCACCAAUUCAUCAAUCUCUCUCAAGCUCUCUUUCAAUCUUUCUAGUGCAAGUGCUUAAAUUUUUGUUGCAAAUUCGUGAAACAUUGUGAAGGUGUUGAAUUGAAGUUUUCAAGUGUUCAAUUUCAACGAUUUUCAAUUUUCAAGAAGUUGUUCGUCAAUCCGGUAAACUCGUUUCAACUCUUACGUGCNNN
RNAcentral lists this long non-coding RNA (338 nucleotides) under Nicotiana benthamiana. Its description in RNAcentral is "long non-coding RNA (NBEN_LNC024011)". The record is from RNAcentral. Lineage: Eukaryota; Viridiplantae; Streptophyta; Magnoliopsida; Solanales; Solanaceae.